ACGGGUGAGUAACGCGUAGGAAUCUGCCCUCAAGCGGGGGACAACCCGAGGAAACUCGGGCUAAUACCGCAUAAACUCGGAAGAGUAAAGUUAGGGCAACCUGACACUUGAGGAGGAGCCUGCGUCCGAUUAGCUAGUUGGUAGGGUAAAAGCCUACCAAGGCGAUGAUCGGUAACUGGUCUGAGAGGAUGACCAGUCACACUGGGACUGAGACACGGCCCAGACUCCUACGGGAGGCAGCAGUGGGGCAUAUUGGACAAUGGGGGCAACCCUGAUCCAGCAAUACCGCGUGUGUGAAGACGGCCUUCGGGUUGUAAAGCACUUUAGUUGGGGAAGAAGGUUACUGGUUUAAGAGAUGAGUAACUUGACUGUACCCAAAGAAUAAGCACCGGCUAACUCUGUGCCAGCAGCCGCGGUAAUACAGAGGGUGCGAGCGUUAAUCGGAAUUACUGGGCGUAAAGGGCGCGUAGGCGGUAAAUUAAGUUAGAUGUGAAAUCCCUGGGCUUAACCUAGGAACUGCAUCUAAUACUGAUUUGCUGGAGUGCAGUAGAGGGUAGUGGAAUUUCCGGUGUAGCGGU
RNAcentral lists this ribosomal RNA (578 nucleotides) under uncultured bacterium. Its description in RNAcentral is "bacterial SSU rRNA". It matches the Rfam family "Bacterial small subunit ribosomal RNA", at positions 102 to 682 of the family's 1533-position model. The record is from RNAcentral.